GGUCGCGUGGCGUAAUGGAUAACGCGUCUGACUUCGGAUCAAAAGAAUGCAUGUUCGGUCUUGCUGCGGUCG
This 72-nucleotide transfer RNA is filed under the name Trichuris muris. RNAcentral's name for it is "snRNA TMUE_0100000232". It matches the Rfam family "tRNA". From Rfam's summary of the family: Transfer RNA (tRNA) molecules are approximately 80 nucleotides in length. The record is from RNAcentral. Lineage: Eukaryota; Metazoa; Nematoda; Enoplea; Trichinellida; Trichuridae.